This is a long non-coding RNA of Astatotilapia calliptera (eastern happy), 1834 nucleotides long. NCBI's taxonomy places the organism in Eukaryota, Metazoa, Chordata, Actinopteri, Cichliformes, Cichlidae. The record is from Ensembl.
GCUGCUUCAGGAAAUAUAUUGCCAGGGGAGCAUAAUUACUCUUUAUCAUAGUAAACUUAUAGAGCACCUCAUUUUCCUCUUAUUUGGUGUUCACAACACCAUCUAUUCAGCACAUUGGUGGGAUGAACCAGAAACAUUGACCACGUCAAUAAAACCUGAAAAUUUAACGACUGUGCUCUUAAUCUAGCUGGGCCUUUAACUAGUUUCCAGGAUGGUUGCUGAGUGGGCAAGACUGCUAUUAUUAUUAUUAUUAUCUUAACAACACGUGUGCUGACUUAUUUUUUUUCUUUACUUUGAAUUUAGGAGACUUAAAGUGAUAAUUACUGUCAGCUGAAAACUAUUGAAAAAUUGUGUAAUAUUGAGAAUUGUUUGGCUUUGCAAAUAUGACAUUUUCAAAAUUAAACAAGAAGGAUAAAAUUAAUGCCAAAGUUUUUUUUUCUUGCAUUCAAAAUUUGUGAUUAUAUUUAUUGAGUAGUAAUGAUUUGUUUAAUUCUGUACAACAAUUAAUUCUCAAGAUCCUUGCAAAACGUUUCGGUAUUAAACUGUAUAAGAAGCCAUGCAAAAGACAUUUGUUAUUUUCUUGUGUUUAGUCUUAGAAAAAGUAUAUUUGUCCUCAACAACUGGCAUGAACAAUUUUCUGGUACACACACACACACACACACACACACACACACACACACACACACACAUAUAUAUAUAUAUAUAUAUGUAUAUAUAUAUAUAUAUAUAUAUAUAUAUAUAUAUAUAUAUAUAUAUAUAUAUGAUGUAAGUUUGUUUGUUUUUUUUCCUUUUUUUUUACAUAAGCCUCAUUUGUUUUUUUGGAUUUUUUUUUGUAUAUCAACAGAAAAAGCCACGCCUUCUGUCAGUUGAUGUCUGUUAAUGACAGUUCCAGUAAAAUGCGAUGAGGUGAUGUCAUCAUGAACUCAGAAGCUCAAACAGAGACAUGAAGAUAAGCUGUAACUUGACUUGUUUGGUAAAGGUAUAAAACCUCAGGGCAGUAAUUCCAGUUUGAGAUGACAAAAUCUGAGAAUCAGUGACAUGCAUAUGAUGUCUGGCAAUUCUGCACUUCUUGCUAUGAUACAAACCACUGCUGCCAGCCUGGGGUAUAUGUUUGCUUUUAUUACACCAAAUAUUAUUUUAUUUCAUUUUUCAGGCAGAUUGGCCAUCAUUGUGAAAGCAGAGUUAGAAGAGAUGGGUAUACAUUUCCGUUGGAUUUCCGUUGGAUUUGGAUCCUAACACAGCGUCUGCUUCUGCCUUUACUCACCAUAAUCAGCUCAGCUCGCAAAACUUUGGUCUUGGCAAACAAAAGCUCGACCUGAUUAUUGUGCGUGCGAGGAGGAAAAUUAGAUCAUUUACCAAACAGUACAAAGCAUGUUAAUGAAAGAGAGUCACAGAAAUGUGAUUGCAGGCAGCGGGAACGUUAAAGUGAGCUCUAUCAUUUGCACUCCCAGCUGAGGUCGCACCUCCAAUAACGAAGCUGGCCAGUUUCCCCGGCAACCAGCCGGGAGGAAACAGUUGAGAGUAAUUCUGGUUAAAUGAAAACAGCUCAAAUGGCUCCUUGUCUUACCGUCUGUUUUUUCUUUAUGAGCCUCCCUCUCUCACUCAUCACAGAAGAAUCAGCCAUUUUAAAAGACGGUUAUUAUUGCAGAGAAGCACGACUUCUUAAAUGAAAACUCUACUCUUGCACAGAUAGUUGAAAUAUUUUCAACUAUUUUCAACAUUUUUUCUACACAAACUGCAUUUUUAAACAGUUUUCUUGACUUUUUUUUUUUUUAAUUAAAGUGACCUACUGUACUUUUCCUUAUUAUCUGCCAUAUAGAGUCUGUUAAAGUUG